Molecule: ribosomal RNA, 753 nt
Filed under: uncultured bacterium
Lineage: Bacteria
Description: bacterial SSU rRNA
Rfam family: Bacterial small subunit ribosomal RNA
Source: RNAcentral
AUUGAACGCUGGCGGCAGGCUUAACACAUGCAAGUCGAACGAUGAAGAUCCAGCUUGCUGGAUUGGAUUAGUGGCGGACGGGUGAGUAACACUUAGGAAUCUACCUGACAGCGGGGGAUAGCCCGGAGAAAUUCGGAAUAAUACCGCAUACCUUCUACGGAAGAAAGGGGGCAGUUUACUGCUCUCACUGACAGAUGAGCCUAAGCAAGAUUAGCUAGAUGGUAGGGUAAAGGCCUACCAUGGCGACGAUCUUUAGCUGGUCUGAGAGGACGAUCAGCCACACUGGGACUGAGACACGGCCCAGACUCCUACGGGAGGCAGCAGUGGGGAAUAUCGGACAAUGGGGGCAACCCUGAUCCAGCCAUGCCGCGUGUGUGAAGAAGGCCUCUUGGUUGUAAAGCACUUUAAGUAGCGAAGAAGACCCCAUGGUUAAUACCCAUGGGCGAUGACAUUAACUACAGAAUAAGCACCGGCUAACUCUGUGCCAGCAGCCGCGGUAAUACAGAGGGUGCAAGCGUUAAUCGGAAUUACUGGGCGUAAAGCGAGCGUAGGUGGUUAAAUAAGUCAGAUGUGAAAUCCCCGAGCUUAACUUGGGAACUGCAUCUGAAACUGUAUAACUAGAGUAGAUGAGAGGGAAGUAGAAUUCCAGGUGUAGCGGUGAAAUGCGUAGAGAUCUGGAGGAAUACCGAUGGCGAAGGCAGCUUCCUGGCACCAUACUGACACUGAGGCUCGAAAGCGUGGGUAGCAAACAGG